GAGAAGUCCACUACACGUUAUCAUUUAGAGGAAGGAGAAGUCGUAACAAGGUUUCCGUAGGUGAACCUGCGGAAGGAUCAUUG
RNAcentral lists this ribosomal RNA (83 nucleotides) under Alyssum diffusum. RNAcentral describes it as "partial 18S ribosomal RNA". It matches the Rfam family "Eukaryotic small subunit ribosomal RNA", at positions 1749 to 1831 of the family's 1831-position model. Lineage: Eukaryota; Viridiplantae; Streptophyta; Magnoliopsida; Brassicales; Brassicaceae. The record is from RNAcentral.